CAAGCUAGAAAGGGCCAACGGUGGAUGCCUUGGCGCUAGGAGCCGAUGAAGGACGUGGCAGGCUGCGAAAAGCCCCGGGGAGCCGUCAAGCAGGCAUCGAUCCGGGGAUGUCCGAAUGGGGAAACCCGGCUGGGGUCAUGCCCAGUCACUCCGGUCUGAACACAUAGGGCCGGUAGAGGGAACCGGGGGAAGUGAAACAUCUCAGUACCCCGAGGAAAGGAAAGCAACAGCGACUCCCUGAGUAGCGGCGAGCGAAACGGGACCAGCCCAAACCGAUGCGGUGUCAAAGCCCGGUGGCGUUGCCGUGUCGGGGUUGCGGGACCCACCCGACGGUGCACCGGAACCGUCAGGGAGUUACAAAGGUGGUGGUUAGCCGAACACAGCUGGAAAGCUGGGCCACAGGAGGUAACAGCCCUGUAGGCGAAAACCAGCCACCCUCCCGGUGGAGUUCCCAAGUAGCACGGAGGAUAUUCCGUGUGAAUCUGCGAGGACCACCUCGUAAGGCUAAGUACUCCAAUCGACCGAUAGUGAACCAGUACCGUGAGGGAAAGGUGAAAAGUCACCCCGGUGAGGGGAGUGAAAUAGAACCUGAAACCGUUGGCUAACAAGCAGUGGGAGCGCCGCCUAAUCGGCGGCUGACCGCGUGCCUAUUGAAGAAUGAGCCAGCGAGUUAUCGGUUGUGGCAAGCUUAAGGCCGCAGGGCGGAGUAGGCGUAGCGAAAGCGAGUCUGAAUAGGGCGCUGCACGUCGGAACGAUGUGUAGUACAGCCGAAGACCCGAAACCGGGUGAUCUAACCAUGGGCAGGGUGAAGCGAGGGUAAGACCUCGUGGAGGCCCGAACACCCAGGUUGAAAACUAGUGGGAUGACCUGUGGAUAGGGGUGAAAGGCCAAGCGAACCCGGAGAUAGCUGGUUCUCCCCGAAAUAUUUAGGGCUAGCGUCGCGUGUUGAGUCGCAGCGGGGGUAGAGCACUGGAUUGGGCUAGGGGGCCACAAGCUUACCGAACUCAGCCAAACUCCGAAUCCCGUAGCGUCAGAGCGCGAGCAGUCAGACCACGGGGGAUGAGCUUCGUUGGUCGAGAGGGAAACAGCCCAGACCGCCAGCUAAGGCCCCUAAAUGUGUGCUAAGUGGGAAAGGAUGUGGAAUCGCCCAAGACAGCCAGGGAGGUUGGCUUAGAAGCAGCCAUCCUUUAAAGAGUGCGUAACAGCUCACUGGUCGAGUGACUCUGCGCGGAAAAUGUAACGGGGCUCAAGCACACCGCCGAAGCUGCGGGAUCCGGCCUUCGGGCCAGAUCGGUAGGGGAGCGUCGUGCAGCCCGUGAAGCGGCGGCGUAAGCCAGCCGUGGAGGCUGCACGAGUGCGAAUGCCGGCAUGAGUAGCGAAUGAAGAGUGAGAAUCUCUUCCGCCGAAUGUCCAAGGGUUCCUGGGGAAGGCUCGUCCGCCCAGGGUAAGUCGGGACCUAAGGCGAGGCCGCGAGGCGUAGUCGAUGGACAACGGGUUGAUAUUCCCGUACCACUCUGUGCGCGCCCGGGCCGAAUCUGGUGUGCUAAGGAAAGCCCUUCGGGGCCUACCGACCCCACCAGUAGUAGGCCAGCGAUGGGGUGACGUGGAAGGGUAAGCGGACCCGGGCGUUGGUUGUACCCGGGGUAAGCGUGUAGGCCGGGGACCAGGCAAAUCCGGUCCCCACACAAGGCUGAGACGCGAUGCCGAGCCGCUCUAGGCGAAGCCGCUGAACGCCCAUGCCACCGAGAAAAACCUCUAGCGAGUGCACAGGGUGCCCGUACCCCAAACCGACACAGGUGGACAGGUAGAGAAUACCGAGGCGAGCGAGAGAACCGUGGUUAAGGAACUCGGCAAAUUGGCCCCGUAACUUCGGGAGAAGGGGCGCCCCGGUAGGGUGUAGGACUUCGCGUCCGAAGCCCGAGGGGGCCGCAGUGACCAGGCCCAAGCGACUGUUUACUAAAAACACAGCAGCGUGCGAAGUCGCAAGACGAUGUAUACGCUGUGACGCCUGCCCGGUGCCGGAAGGUUAAGUGGAGGGGUUAGCCGCAAGGCGAAGCUCCGAAACUAAGCCCCGGUAAACGGCGGCCGUAAGCAAGUUGCGGCUCCAAGGGGGUAACUCCUUGGAUCAAACCCUGCUAUAUGCUGGGAACCCCGAGUAUCCGGCGGUACUCGUCUGCGCUUCUGUCACAGCCUCGUGGUAGUGACAGAGGCAUGGGCAGUGACAAUCCGACCGGUGCGGGCAAUCAGCAGGAAAGGCCCGAUUCCGAAGCCUGGCUCGAUCGAAUCCCUCUCGACGUGGGACACUAUGUCGCGGGAUUCAUCGACGGAGAGGGAAGCUUCAAUGUCCCUAUCCGUCGGGAGCGAGAUCGAUCUCUCCCAUGGCGUGUAGGCUUGUCGUUCAACGUUUCCCAGCUCGGAGAAGAGCUUCCGGAGCUGCUCCGGAGCGCAUUCGGGUGCGGAACCGUACGACGACGAGCCGACGGCGUGGUGUACUUCGAGGUAACGAGGCCGGAUGACCUGCGCAGGAGGGUGUUUCCGUUCUUACGGAGAUUUCCGCUGCGGGGUCCGAAGAGAGCCGACCUCGAAGUAUUCGAAAGAAUCGCAUCGCUGAUCGAGUCGGGUGUUCACCGCACCCCGGAGGGACAUCGUCUGAUCAUCGAGCUUCGCGGCCCGAUGAAUCGCGGUGGCAAAAGGCGCCGCACAGACGAGGAGCUACUCCGUGUGCUGAGGGAUUGGGAAUCCUCAGAGGCCAUACGCAGGGCUCCGUGUUGAAGCGCACGGAUGAAGAUAUGGUCCACGCCCCAUGGCGACAUGGGGAGACACGUGAACUAUAACGGUCCUAAGGUAGACGCUCUCUUUCGUGCGAGAGCACUGCCCCCCACGAUGGCGACGUCGUGGAGAGCAGCUGGCUAUAUGCUGGGAACCCCGAGUAUCCGGCGGUACUCGUCUGCGCUUCUGUCAUAGCCUCGUGGUAGUGACAGAGGCAUGGGCAGUGACAAUCCGACCGGUGCGGGCAAUCAGCAGGAAAGGCCAGGUAUCGAGCAAUGGGUGGUCGGGUUCGUAGAUCGUGAACAACCGUCACGACGAUCACCGGGAACCGCUAGUGCGGUGGUCGGUUGAAGCGCCGGCGAGAGCUGGUCGAGAAUAUCGUUCCGUUCUUCGAACGCAACCCAUUGAUAACCGCAAAGCGGAGAGACUUCGAGCUCUUCGCCGAGGUCUUGAGGCUGAUGGAGAUCAACGCCCAUCUGACGCCUCAGGAACUCGAGGCGAUCGCAGCACUCACGGAGCGCAUGCAUCGCCGGAAGCGGUCUCGUUACCUGGAAUCCUCAGAGGCCAUACGCCAGCCAACUCGGCUCCGACCGCCGAGUUGAAGAUAUGGUCCGAGCCUCAUGGCGACAUGAGGAGUGACUCGAGCGAAAUUCCUUGUCGGGUAAGUUCCGACCUGCACGAAUGGCGUAACGACUUGGGCACUGUCUCAACCACGGACUCGGUGAAAUUGCAGUGUGAGUGAAGAUGCUCACUACCUGCGGCAGGACGGAAAGACCCCGGAACCUUUACUGCAGCUUGACAUUGGAGUCUGGCGGUCGAUGUGUAGGAUAGGUGGGAGGCUAGGAAGCGCGGGCGCCAGCUCGCGUGGAGCCGCCGUUGAAAUACCACCCUUCGAUCGACGGGCUUCUAACCUCGGUCCGUUAUCCGGAUCAGGGACAGUGUCUGGCGGGCAGUUUCACUGGGGCGGUGGCCUCCUAAAGUGUAACGGAGGCGCCCAAAGGUUCCCUCAGCCUGGUCGGCAAUCAGGCGUUGAGUGUAAAGGCACAAGGGAGCUUGACUGCGAGACCUACAAGUCGAGCAGGGACGAAAGUCGGGCUUAGUGAUCCCACGGUUGCAUGUGGGAUGCGCCGUGGCUCAUCGGCUAAAAGGUACUCCGGGGAUAACAGGCUUAUCACGCCCAAGAGUCCAUAUCGACGGCGUGGUUUGGCACCUCGAUGUCGGCUCGUCGCAUCCUGGGGCUGGAGCAGGUCCCAAGGGUCGGGCUGUUCGCCCGUUAAAGCGGCACGCGAGCUGGGUUUAGAACGUAGACUCACUGCGUCCCCUGGGAGCAAUCCCAGGGUGCUCACCGACUCAUAUCGGGGGAACCUGUCACAGGUCCGAACUACUGUGGCAGGCAAUCCCGAGGGAAGGCCGGUGUCAUGGAGUCGUUCUGGCCAUAUCUGGCAGGCUUUUUCGACGGCGAUGGAAGUAUUCACUUCCAGAUCGUUCGUCAGAACGAGUAUCGAUGGGGCUUCUACAUCAGACCGAGCUUGGUGUUUUAUCAAGCUACGGAAGCCAAGGGUGGUUUGGUGGAAAUCCGGCGUCGCCUAGACAUGGGACGGCUCCGGGACAGGUCCGGCGGUAUGUCGGACCUCACGAUCACGAACCGCCGCGCGAUACAAGGCCUGUUGCAGCGGAUGGCACCGUAUGUGAUCUUCAAGCGGCGGCAUGUCGACGCUGCUCUGGAGCUCCUCAGGAGGUUGCCUCCGCCCAGGGAUCCGAUGGGUUUCCUGGAGAUAUGCCAGGCUGUCGACGACUUCGCAUCCCUAAACUUCUCGAAGAGCAGGACUGUUACGACAGCGACGGUCCGGGAAGCUCUCGAGAGGCAUGGGUACAUCGGCCCCCGUAACGACUGAACCCGCAAGGGUGAGACGGGUUGUCGCGGCCUUUAAAGAGGCCAAAUCUAAGGCGUCCGUCAUACGUCGGCCCCCCGAAAGGGGGUGGAGGGAUAGUCUGACACCCUCAGCGAUGAGGGAAAACGAUGUGCGUGAGACAGUAAGUGACCGUUGCUGUCUAUAAAUCCGGCUAUAUGCUGGGAAAUCCGGAAUGUAUCCUGCGGUACUCGUCCAUGUCGCACCCCGCCGGUAUGUUGGGGUGGCGACGAUGGGCAGUGACAAUCCGACAGGUGAGCCGGACUAUCAGCAGGGAAGGCUCGGAGCCUAUCUCAGUGGGUUCGCUGAUGGAGAGGGUACUUUCUCGAUCGGUCUUCAGCGAAGGCCAGACCUCAGAUUCGGGUACCAAAUCGUGCCUGAAUUUCGGGUCAGCCAAAACGAAGAGCGCGCCGAGGUCUUGGAACUGUUUCGGUCCACGCUGGGCUGUGGCCGCGUCGCCGUGAACCAUCGCGGUCGGUCGGGCGACAGGACCCUCGUAUUCGUGGUCCGGAACAGGAAAGACCUGGUGGAGAAGGUGAUUCCUUUCUUCGACGCAAACCCCAUCCUGUCGAGCAAGGCACGAGAGUUCGACGCCUUCCGUCGAGUAGUGAUCGCCAUGACAAAGGGCGAACACUUGGAACGGAAGGGUUUCGACUCUCUGGUGCGGAUCGCCCUCAGCAUGAAUGGAGAGGGUCGAUACCGGAAAUGGCGGCUCGACGAUGUGAUAGGCCCGGGAACCCUCAGAGGCCAUACGCCGGACACCGAUCAUACGGAUCGGUGAAGAGAUGGUCCGACCCCCAUGGCGACAUGGGGAGCCAGGCGGAACAGAAACGACCUGGCCGCCGGAGACUCUGUCUCCGGAGGUAACAGAAGUGUCGGUCCCUAUCCGCCGCAGGCGUAGGAGGCUUGAGGGGAGCUGUCCCUAGUACGAGAGGACCGGGAUGGACGUACCUCUGGUGUGCGAGUUGUCCUGCCAAGGGCACGGCUCGUUGGCUAUGUACGGACGGGAUAAGCGCUGAAGGCAUCUAAGUGCGAAGCCCACCCCAAGAUCAGGCCUCCCACGGGGUAACCCGGUAAGGCCCCUGGUAGAUGACCAGGUCGAUAGGCCGGAGGUGUAAGCACGGCAACGUGUUCAGCCGACCGGUACUAAUAGGCCGAGGGCUUGG
Molecule: ribosomal RNA, 5845 nt
Filed under: Acidimicrobiia bacterium
Lineage: Bacteria; Bacillati; Actinomycetota; Acidimicrobiia
Description: 23S ribosomal RNA
Rfam family: Bacterial large subunit ribosomal RNA (bases 1-4306)
Source: RNAcentral